GUUUGAUCCUGGCUCAGAACGAACGCUGGCGGCAGGCUUAACACAUGCAAGUCGAGCGAGACCUUCGGGUCUAGCGGCGGACGGGUUAGUAACGCGUGGGAACGUGCCCUUUACUACGGAAUAGUCCCGGGAAACUGGGUUUAAUACCGUAUACGCCCUUCGGGGGAAAGAUUUAUCGGUAAAGGAUCGGCCCGCGUUAGAUUAGAUAGUUGGUGGGGUAAUGGCCUACMAAGUCUACGAUCUAUAGCUGGUUUGAGAGGAUGAUCAGCAACACUGGGACUGAGACACGGCCCAGACUCCUACGGGAGGCAGCAGUGGGGAAUCUUAGACAAUGGGCGCAAGCCUGAUCUAGCCAUGCCGCGUGAGUGACGAAGGCCUUAGGGUCGUAAAGCUCUUUCGCCAGG
Molecule: ribosomal RNA, 404 nt
Filed under: uncultured prokaryote
Description: bacterial SSU rRNA
Rfam family: Bacterial small subunit ribosomal RNA
Source: RNAcentral